RNAcentral lists this ribosomal RNA (381 nucleotides) under uncultured bacterium. Its description in RNAcentral is "bacterial SSU rRNA". It matches the Rfam family "Bacterial small subunit ribosomal RNA", at positions 28 to 416 of the family's 1533-position model. The record is from RNAcentral.
GAUGAACGCUGGCGGCGUGCCUAACACAUGCAAGUCGUACGAGCUCGAUCUUCGGAACGGGUUAGUGGCGCACGGGUGAGUAACACGUAGGUGACCUACCCCAGAGUGGGGGAUAACUUCUCGAAAGAGAGGCUAAUACCGCAUACACUCGGUCAUUCAUUUGGCCGAGCAAAGCUCCGGCGCUUUGGGACGGGCCUGCGUCCGAUUAGCUAGUUGGUAGGGUAAUGGCUUACCAAGGCUUUGAUCGGUAGCUGGUCUGAGAGGACGAUCAGCCACACUGGCACUGACACACGGGCCAGACUCCUACGGGAGGCAGCAGUGAGGAAUUUUGGACAAUGGGGGCAACCCUGAUCCAGCCAUGCCGCGUGAGUGAAGAAGGCC